CCCUCCCUCAGUUUCCAAAUUACAUUUCUUUGAAAAACCAAGAGGAAUGUAGGGUUGUACUUAAUGACUGUGCAGAACAACUUUCAUCUAGGUGGGGACCUCUGAUCUCUGUCUAAUGGAAGGAUUUCUGCCAAGCCAAAGACAAAGAAUCAAAGCUUAUGGAUGUGAGAAAUGGGAUGAGCUCCUCUGGGCAAGGCCACUCCCUGCCUUUUACCUGUAUUCCUCUCACAUUCAGCAGGUGCUGUCAAACCUCCCCUUAUGAUGAAUAGUAGAAUCUACAAAGUAUAUCAGGCAGAUGAUCUCUGGAGACAAAAUAUGAGUAUGUGAGAACAAAAACAUAGAAAAGGAGAACUGUGUAUGGAAAAGGAAAUCCAAACAAGAAAUAAAUAAUCCCUGAAAAAUAAUAAGACUUUUUCUGGGACAUAUCUGUCCUAGGACAGGUACUCAACCAAAAUAAAAGGAUGUAAAGAUUGAGCUAUACAGAACUAAAGAUAACAUAACUAAGCAAAUGAAACUGCACCUUAUGCAGUGCUGGUUCUGUUUUGCGUGUGUGUUAGUCCUGUGUUGUCUCCUUACUCUACUUUCUGAAAAAAACAGUUUCAACUUGUUUCUACCCAGGAGAGAAGUUAAGAGUUUUGAAGAUGUUAACACCAAGCACAUGACCAGAAAGUUGAGAAGCUCAGAUUGGGAUUACAUUGACAGUCAGUUUUACAAAGUGCUUCUGAAUGGGACCCUUCACAAAGAAGCCUGUGCAGAUUCCCUAGCUGGAGAUCAAUUAAACAACAGUGACCCUCAGGAGCAGGAGAGAGAAACUGAAAAGCUGGUGUGCUAGCUUCAGUAUUUGACUAGCGCCAAAAAAUAAUAAUAUGGACUCAUGUCUUACCACCAGGUGUACAAAUGUCAUACAUGUCAUACAGCUACUCUGACAUGAGGCAAGGAGAGCGGUGCAAUGGAACAAACGUUCUGUAGUACUGACAUUCUUGUUCACCUCCUUAUCCUCUACUGAUUCAAAUCAGUAGGGAAUAGAAGGCAGGAACAAAAAUACUGUCAGUCAUCACAGUUUUGUGCCAAAUAGGCCUACUAAAAUGACUAUUUUUGUUGGAUUGUUAAUGUGGUUUAUGAUUGUAACAGUUUGGAAUAUU
Long non-coding RNA from Athene cunicularia (burrowing owl), 1142 nucleotides. RefSeq lists it as uncharacterized. The record is from RefSeq and is a predicted model, not a curated record. Lineage: Eukaryota; Metazoa; Chordata; Aves; Strigiformes; Strigidae. The transcript is spliced from 2 exons.